This 301-nucleotide ribosomal RNA is filed under the name uncultured bacterium. RNAcentral's name for it is "partial 16S ribosomal RNA". It matches the Rfam family "Bacterial small subunit ribosomal RNA", at positions 509 to 807 of the family's 1533-position model. The record is from RNAcentral.
CAGCAGCCACGGUAAUACAGAGGGUGCGAGCGUUAAUCGGAUUUACUGGGCGUAAAGCGUGCGUAGGCGGCUUCUUAAGUCGGAUGUGAAAUCCCUGAGCUUAACUUAGGAAUUGCAUUCGAUACUGGGAAGCUAGAGUAUGGGAGAGGAUGGUAGAAUUCAAGGUGUAGCGGUGAAAUGCGUAGAGAUCUGGAGGAAUACCGAUGGCGAAGGCAGCCAUCUGGCCUAAUACUGACGCUGAGGUACGAAAGCAUGGGGAGCAAACAGGAUUAGAUACCCGCGUAGUCCCUGUUUCUUAUAC